RNAcentral lists this ribosomal RNA (1441 nucleotides) under uncultured bacterium. Its description in RNAcentral is "bacterial SSU rRNA". It matches the Rfam family "Bacterial small subunit ribosomal RNA". The record is from RNAcentral.
UAACACAUGCAAGUCGAACGGAAACGAUACUAGCUUGCUAGUAGGCGUCGAGUGGCGGACGGGUGAGUAACGCGUAGGAAUCUACCUGAUAGUGGGGGAUAGCCCGAAGAAAUUCGGAUUAAUACCGCAUAAUCUAUUCGUAGUAAAGUGGGGGACUUUCGAGCCUCACGCUAUCAGAUGAGCCUGCGUAAGAUUAGCUAGUUGGUAGGGUAAAAGCCUACCAAGGCGACGAUCUUUAGCUGGUCUGAGAGGAUGAUCAGCCACAUCGGGACUGAGACACGGCCCGAACUCCUACGGGAGGCAGCAGUGGGGAAUAUUGGACAAUGGGGGCAACCCUGAUCCAGCAAUACCGCGUGUGUGAAGAAGGCCUGAGGGUUGUAAAGCACUUUCAAUUGUGAAGAAAAGCUAGUGGUUAAUAGCCAUUAGCCUUGACGUUAACUUUAGAAGAAGCACCGGCUAACUCCGUGCCAGCAGCCGCGGUAAUACGGAGGGUGCAAGCGUUAAUCGGAAUUACUGGGCGUAAAGCGUGCGUAGGCGGUUUAUUAAGUCAGAUGUGAAAGCCCCGGGCUUAACCUGGGAACUGCAUUUGAAACUGGUCAACUAGAGUAUGGUAGAGGAAAGUGGAAUUUCUGGUGUAGCGGUGAAAUGCGUAGAUAUCAGAAGGAACAUCAAUGGCGAAGGCAACUUUCUGGACCAAUACUGACGCUGAGGUACGAAAGCGUGGGUAGCAAACAGGAUUAGAUACCCUGGUAGUCCACGCCGUAAACGAUGAUAACUAGCCGUUGGGGGGAUUUACCCCUUAGUGGCGAAGCUAACGCGUUAAGUUAUCCGCCUGGGGAGUACGGCCGCAAGGUUAAAACUCAAAGGAAUUGACGGGGACCCGCACAAGCGGUGGAGCAUGUGGUUUAAUUCGAUGCAACGCGAAGAACCUUACCUGGUCUUGACAUCUGAGAACUUUCUAGAAAUAGAUUGGUGCCUUCGGGAACUCAGUGACAGGUGCUGCAUGGCUGUCGUCAGCUCGUGUCGUGAGAUGUUGGGUUAAGUCCCGUAACGAGCGCAACCCCUAUCCUUAUUUGCCAGCACAUCAUGGUGGGAACUAUAAGGAGACUGCCGGUGAUAAACCGGAGGAAGGCGGGGACGACGUCAAGUCAUCAUGGCCCUUACGACCAGGGCUACACACGUGCUACAAUGGGAAGGACAAAGAGCCGCGAAGCCGCGAGGUGUAGCUAAUCUCAGAAACCUUUUCGUAGUCCGGACUGGAGUCUGCAACUCGACUCCAUGAAGUCGGAAUCGCUAGUAAUCGUAGAUCAGAAUGCUACGGUGAAUACGUUCCCGGGUCUUGUACACACCGCCCGUCAUACCAUGGGAGUGGGUUGCACCAGAAGUGGCUAGUCUAACUUUAUUAAGGACGGUCACCACAGUGUGAUUCAUGACUGGGGUA